This 56-nucleotide transfer RNA is filed under the name Cordylochernes scorpioides. Its description in RNAcentral is "tRNA-Thr". The record is from RNAcentral. Lineage: Eukaryota; Metazoa; Arthropoda; Arachnida; Pseudoscorpiones; Chernetidae.
GCGGGAAUCGAACCCACACCCUUCUGCUUACCGGGCAGGUGCCUUGUCCACUCGGC